This 279-nucleotide ribosomal RNA is filed under the name uncultured bacterium. Its description in RNAcentral is "partial 16S ribosomal RNA". It matches the Rfam family "Bacterial small subunit ribosomal RNA", at positions 506 to 784 of the family's 1533-position model. The record is from RNAcentral.
UGCCAGCCGCCGCGGUAAUACGGAGGGGGCCAGCGUUGUUCGGAAUUAUUGGGCGUAAAGGGCGCGUAGGCGGUCGGGCAAGUCGGAGGUGAAAUCCCUCGGCUCAACCGAGGAAUUGCCCCCGAUACUGCCUGACUUGAGUCCCGGAGAGGGUAGCGGAAUUCCUAGUGUAGCGGUGAAAUGCGUAGAUAUUAGGAGGAACACCAGUGGCGAAGGCGGCUACCUGGACGGGUACUGACGCUGAGGCGCGAAAGCGUGGGGAGCAAACAGGAUUAGAUA